AGCAGCCGCGGUAAUUCCAGCUCCAAUAGCGUAUAUUAAAGUUGUUGCAGUUAAAAAGCUCGUAGUUGAACUUCGGGGUUCACCCAUUGGUCAGGCUUAAUUGUCUGUACUGGUGAGAUGAAUCUCUACCUUCUGAGGAACUUUCAUGCCAUUUAUUUGGUGUGAUGGGAAAUCAGGACUGUUACUUUGAAAAAUUAGAGUGUUUAAAGCAGGCUAACGUCUGAAUACAUUAGCAUGGAAUAAUGAAAUAGGACGGACUGAUUCUAUUUCGUUGGUUUCUAGGAUCACCGUAAUGAUUAAUAGGGAUAGUUGGGGGCAUUAGUAUUCAAUUGUCAGAGGUGAAAUUCUUGGAUUUAUUGAAGACUAACUACUGCGAAAGCAUUUGCCAAGGAUGUUUUCAUUAAUCAAGAACGAAAGUUAGGGGAUCGAAGACGAUCAGAUACCGUCGUA
Molecule: ribosomal RNA, 450 nt
Filed under: uncultured Diversispora
Lineage: Eukaryota; Fungi; Glomeromycota; Glomeromycetes; Diversisporales; Diversisporaceae
Description: SSU rRNA
Rfam family: Eukaryotic small subunit ribosomal RNA
Source: RNAcentral